This 1032-nucleotide long non-coding RNA is filed under the name Anas platyrhynchos platyrhynchos (common mallard). RNAcentral's name for it is "lncRNA (ENSAPLG00000024858.1)". Lineage: Eukaryota; Metazoa; Chordata; Aves; Anseriformes; Anatidae. The record is from RNAcentral.
AUGGCAGCGGAGCGGAAGCUUGAAUGGGCUUGUUUAAUGAACAGGCGAAGUCAUUCAUCUGCAGCCUCACGGUUCUGCAGCAAGGCUACCCCCCCCCCCCCCCCCUUUUUUUUUAAGCCCCCCCCCCCCCCCCCCCCCCCCCCCCCCCCGCCUCCUCGUGGCAUGACACAGCCAGCAAAGCAGCUGCGGAUGGUGUUUGUGCAACGCUGCCGUUCAGCAGUGCUGGGGAUAUACCAGCCUCCUUUUCAGCCUGCUCCCUGCCUGAGCUCUGCCCGCACCUUCAUGGUUAUUGCUGAGACUACUGGGGCAGCUGCUGUGCUAAACCAUGGCAGGGAAAUGGCCCUGUUGGCGCUGCCACGGAGGGUGCAGACACGCCAAGACCCCUGGCACCUGCUGGGUUUGGAAAGCCAGCCCUGCACCCACAGCACGGGCAUGGCCCCGGCAGCGUGGGCUGCACGGAGCUGGUUUACUCCCCUGACUCGCCCCACGGCUGGAGCCGGGAUCAGGCCUGCAGCUGGCGUGAACCGGCCCAUGGAAAUUCGGUGGAGCCCUGCCAGGCAGCAGCAGCUGAAGCGCUGGCACCAGAAGCUAUUUUUUAUGCAUAAAACUAGCUAUUUUUGCAUGACCUUUGGUUUCACAGCAGCACCAGCAAGGCGUGCAGGCUGCCUUUCCCUUGCGAAAGCGCGAAUGGAAGAUUUUUUAUUUUUUUUAUUUUUUUUUUUUUGCCGGACGCUUGCUUCAAAGCCGCGUUCAGGGCAGAUAAGUGAUAGCAUCUGUCAGGGUGCCAUUUUUGCACUGCGCAGCCAGCGUGGGAGCACUCCCUGUCCCCCUGCUCCCUGCCUGCUAAAAACAACUGAAACUAAUUACAUACCAGGAAUACCAGCGGCCCCGCAAAGCCUCUGCCGCACAGCGGCUCUCCCUCUCUCCCUUUUUUCCCUUCCGCCUGAUUCACCAAGGCUUUGGCCGCGCUCCAGCUUUUGGGAGGGUGGGGAGAGGCAAGGGGGGGGGCUUGGGAGGGCAGCGGCUUUUUGA